AGUAAAUGAAAUGGAUAUAAGCAAGUUGGUCUACCUUCAAGCAAUUGUUAAAGAGACAUUGAGGUUAAAUCCAACAGCCCCACUUUCAGGACCGCGUCAAUUCAUCCAAGAUUCUAUUUUAGGCGGUUACUAUAUCUCAAAAGGCACUCGUCUUAUAUUGAACCUCACCAAGAUCCAAAGAGACCCGAGAGUAUGGUUGAACCCAAUGGAGUUCCAACCAGAUAGAUUCCUCACCACCCACAAAGAUGUUGAUGUUAGAGGUAAACAUUUUGAGUUGACACCAUUUGGUGGUGGAAGAAGAAUUUGCCCUGGAGCAAUUUUUGCCCUUCAAGUGCUACACUUAACAUUAGCCAACUUCCUACAUAGAUUUCAACUUUCAACUCCAUCAGAUGCACCGGUUGAUAUGAGCGAGAGUUUUGGAUUAACAAACAUCAAAUCCACUCCACUUGAAGUUCUUAUCUCCCCACGCUUGGCUUCUUAUGAUCUUUAUGAGUAGAACUUGAGGUCGCUAAGAGACUUAUUUCAAAAAACCUAGUGCUAUGAAAUGUGAAAUAAAAAUAAAUUUCAUACAUGUAGCAUAAGUUUAGUAUUAUUUUAAAGCAGUUACUAAUGUGUGUCCUUUAGUAUUGUCUUAGCUUGAAUUUAAUAAAAAAAUAUUUUCGACAACUAUUUUGUGUGGACAAGUAAUGACCCAAUUUCUUGUUAUGUUUCUUCAUUCUUCCAUGAAAGAGAAUUUAGAAGAAAAAGUGGCAUAUAGCAUUACAAUUGAAAAAUUAAUAAGCAUGUACUCCACCAUAUGCAUAUAUAUGCAUAGUAGACUUAAUGAAUUUCCAAGUUGAUUAAUUGGUAUCUCCUUUUGAUAGAUUUCAGCCACCUUUUUGUACAUGAUUAAAGUAGUAAUGGAGACUAAAAUUACAACUCCCAUUUCAUUGUAAAAAGUUGGGAUGUGCAAGGUGGGUCAGUUCAAUUUUGGGCAUUAAAAUCGAAUCGAAUCGAAUUGAACCCAAAAGAGGAAAAUGAUUAGUUUGACUUGAUUAACAAUAAUCUAAGUUGGUUUAUUUUGCUUCUAUUUAUAACAUCAAUUUUUUUUUUAAUUUGAACGAAAAUAAUAUUAUUGAAGCAAGUCAUCUUUGGACGGUUGAAAUGAUAUUAUUACAACUAAUUUCAAAUCAUAUUAUUAUAACUUAAUGACAUGAAUAGGUAUUAUUGUAACCCAUGUCAAUCAUAUCAAAUAGUCCAAGUCAUAGAUAAAAGUUAUAAAGGUGUGAUUGGGAGUUCCAUCCAAUGUGAAAAAUGUAUACCAAAUUAAUAAUGUAACCAAUUGUUAUACUGUAUAUUAUUAUUGUGUGUGUAUAGCUUUCAAUUCAAUUCAGUUUGGUUCAUUAAUUUUUUUUUAUAGGUAAUUGAAUUGGUAUAACUUAGGUUUAUAUUUUUAAAAAUAAAAUCUUUAAAAAUUAAUAGAUUUGGGUCAAUUCCAUUGAUUUUGUCAAUCGUACACCCUAAAAGAAGGGAUGUCCACUUAUCAUCCAUAACUUUGUGUACUCCUAAGUUAGAAUUUUGCCCCAUGUGAUUCACAUUUGUACUUAUUAUUCUCAAAUUUUCGUACAAAUGAUUUAUUGUUUUGUGGAAUUUUACUCCAUGAGAUUCACAUUUGUACUUAUUAUUAUCAACUUUGUCUGCUCUUAAGUUACAAUUUCUCCUAAUUAGAUUCACAUGCGUUAUUGCCAUAAUUGACUUUCCACAUUUAUGCAUGAAUUAUUAUGUCAAUAGAUGCAUUAUCAUUUUGUCAAGUUAAUUUGACUUAGGUUAAUCACCAAAGACAAGGUGAAUUAAUUGACUCAAUUUUAAUAAAUUUUAAUUUAAAUGAGUGCAAGUAAUAAUAAUAAAACAGUAAAAAAAUACAUAAUUAAAUAAAUAAAAAGAAGAGAUAACUGGUACAAACUCCAAUUUAUAUUUUGCUCAAUCCUAUACUCUCCUCAAGCCCUCAAAUGCAAAUUGAGGGUUCCACUAGCUUUUAAGACUUCAAUCAAACCUUAAUCCUUUACACCUGGAUUCUCAAUUUCAAUGAUCUUUUUACACUUUAAUUCAAGAAAUUCCUCACUCUUGAACAUACUCAAAGGUAACACUUGAACAACAUUGAUCUCACAAAGUUUUAUUUACAGAUAAUAUAAAUGAAAACUUAAAUGGUUUUUUUUGGUUAGGAUUUCUAAAUUAAUAAGGAUUUUUACAUUAAAAAGAAAGAGUUAAGAUCAACUGGGUUUUGUAAGAUUUUGAUAUAUAUCUUAGUUUGCGAGUUUUUUGGGAUUAUAUUGUAAUCUUAUUGUUUUAUCCUAAAAUUGUCAAAAAAAGAAAUUAGUAAUUUAGUAUGGAAAUUUUACUCCAAAGAUUAUUGAUUAAAAAUUAUUUUACUAAUACCAACGUGUAAGAGUUAAAGGCAUAAAAUUGAAAUUAAAGUAAGUUUAUUAUUUUGGAUUUUGUUAAGUAAUGACAAGAUUAAUAAUUGAAAUUAAUGUAAAAAGAAGUGUAAAAACUUUAAAACUUUAAAAUAUCAUUUCAUUAUUAGUUUCCACUUGCCAACAUAGACUUCUCAUUCUAUUCUAACAAGUUUUUUGUACUUUUAUAUAUAUAUAUUUCAUAAACUUAACAAAGGAUACAAACAGCAAAAGAAAAAAAAAAUUGAGCUACUAAACCUCAAUAUAAAUUUGGGGUGAAUUGUCAAGGUCUAUUAAGGAGCAUGGGGAAGUACUGUAUCACAGAUCAAUGUGAAGAUGUAUAUAUAUUUAUAGUAUAGAACCUAAGAGAACGUUUCUUUCUAAGUUAGGUAAACAUUUCUGUCAAAGUUGAUGAAAUUUUACUAUAAUUUAUAUACACAUGCUUUCAGUGUGCAUAUAAAUUAUACGUGGAGAUGAUUUUUAACUUAUAUCUUGCUUUUUAUAUGUGAUUUAAUAUUGUUUUGGAUUAUUGAUUAUGACUUAUGAAUUAUCAUGCAUGGAACUAAUCAAAAUGAUAUAAUUAAAUUAUAUUAAUGAAUUUGAGAUAGACAUGGCAAUUAUUAAUUUAAAAUAUCUUAUAUGAACAUAAAAUUUUAAAUAUAGACUCAUAAUUUAUAUUAAAAUAAUAAAAUUAAAAAAGUACGUUUAUCUCAGAUUUAUGCCUAGGGCCCAAAUUUUGCUGAGAGACGGCCGGAUGUCAUCACAUGCAAGAAAGCUAGGAAACAAAGCUAAAGUUUGCUUCUUGUGUGGGAAGAGGUACUUCCGUGCUUGACUGAAAGAAAGGAUUUUCUACAAGAAAAAUUGUCCCCUUGUUUGUAAAGCCUCAAGUUGCGACAGCAAUAACGACAAAAGUAGGCCAAAGAAUUUGUCAUUAUUAUGAGACUAGAGAGGUUUUACUGAGAAGUUUUCCGAGCGUGAUAUCAGCAUUCGCUGUAUCACAGUGAUACAACAAAUGGUUUGAACACAGUGAUCUAGAACCCAUUAGCUCAAAUUUCAUUGAUCUGAACACGAUGAUCCUCAUCCGCAGACCAUUUUAGGGAAUAAUUAAUUCUAGCGAUUUUUUAACUGCAUGUACGAAGAACUUCAUCAAAAUUCGAUUAAGUGUAUCUUAACCAAUCUUGAUCAGUAUGCGACUGAUGAUUCUAUUUGAUAAAAGUAAUGCGGUGGCCCAACUUUAUCUUAAUUUCUAUGUUGAAAGUAAUCAUUAUAUUAUUCUAUAAUUAUAAAUGUAGACUAUGGAAUCAAGAUAACUUUGAUAUGCUGAGAUCAAAAGAGGGCGGCCACUUUAGUAGUGGACUAUAUAUACUAAAUAAAGCUGAUCGAUUAUUACAUUGGAAAAUAACAUUGAACCUAUCAUGAAAGACAACCCUACUGGACCAUGCCCCGAGUACUAAAUGCUGAUAAAAAACAAGUACAUGUUCCAAAGGAAUUGAGUCCAUAUAUACACAUUAGUGCUCAAAGAGAAAAACUAUAUAUCCACCGCUUAACUACAGUGAUCCUUUGAGCAGAAGUUAGCCAUGUAUUUCCUUUUCCAAUACCUAAACAUCACCACGGUCGGAGUCUUUGCCACACUUUUCCUUUCCUACUGUCUAUUAUUAUGGAGGUCUAGAGCUGGUAACAAAAAAAUAGCACCUGAAGCUACUGCUGCAUUGUCACGACCCAAAUUCCGGGUGACCCAUAAUUUGGCCCGUGACCCCAGGUCAAAGGUUUGACCCUAAGGGUUACUCCUAUUCCACGUUGGCAGUCAACUAAAACACUCUGAAAUUUUUUUUUUUCUCACAUAUAAGUCUCACUAGGUUCUCACCAACUAACAAUAUUUCAACCCUUACUCAAACACAUUAAGAUUUAAUAAAUAUCAUUGCAUUCCAAAAUAAAAUUUCAUAAAAAUCCCCUUAAUCGAAUUAAGGUCUUAUUACAUUAUCCAUAAUUCACUUAUUACAAGAUCUCAAUACCACAAACAUAAUAAAAAAAUAAAACACAUUCCACUAAACCGCUCCAAGGGCAUCCUGAAGUCCUCCCUGUCCCACCUGUGGAUCCUCAGGAGUGAUAUCUGCAUCUAAAAAUAUAUAUAUAAAAAAAAAGGGUGAGCAUUUCCACAUUGCUCAGUAGGGUGCCUAACACCCAAAGGGUUAAUGGGGGAUUACUAUAUUUCAAUAACCCAAACACAACAGUUUACCAAUAUAAAUCAAGUCACACAAUUUAACAUAUAAUAUUAUACUCAAUCCCACAACAUCCAAUCAUUACAUAUUAAAUUACCACCUACAUCUAUAAGUUCUUCAUCUUUUUAUAAAGGAGCUAUAGAAAUGUUAAAAAGUCGAAAGAAGACAACAAAUAGUUCUCCAAACAACACAACUGAUUUAGAUAGAUAUCUUAAUAUUGAUUUAAUUUCAUUUGAAGAUGAUGAAGAUUUUGAUAUUUUAAUAUGGUGGAAAUCACAACAACACAAAUAUCUUGUGCUUUCUAUCAUUGCUCGUGAUGUACUAACAGUUCCUGUGAGUACAGUUGCAUCAGAAGUUGCUUUUAGUGCAGGUGGAAGAGUAGUUAGUGAUAAACGAUGCAGCUUAGCGCCGGAUUCUAUUGAAGCAAAUAUAUGUCUGAAAGACUGGGCAAUAGCAGAUAAAAGGAUAUUUGAUUCUAUUCAAGAAGAAAAUAUGCUUGUCGAUAUGGAAAAACUAAAAUCAUCAGAUCUUCAUGGAUUUGCGAUAGUUAGCCAUCACCGCUAAGAGAUAAUGAUUAAAAUAUUUUACUAAAUGUAUGUCAUAUUUUUAUUUUUAUUUUUGUGGUUGAAAAGUACAAAUGAUUGACAAAUAAGUAGGUGCCAACCUAGUUGAGAUGUAUUUAUUUUGUAGUGAUGUAAACUUUUUCCACAUUUUCAAAUGUAAUGUAUAUAUUCAAUGAAUAAAAUAGUUAGCAAUGAAUAUUUUUAUUAAUGUAGCAUUUUCUAUUUUUUGAAUAUAUUUUUAUAUAUAUAUAUAUAUAUUUUUAAGUGGCGGGCCUACGGGUGGGCCCACGGCCGGGCCGGGCUUAAAUUGGGGCCCAUCCAAAAAUGGGCUCGGGUCGGGCUUUAGCCUACUGGGCCGGGCCGCGAGCUUUUUGGAGACCCUUAAUUUUUAUAAAUUACAGAAAAGAAAGAAAGAAAAAAAAAAAGAGAAAUCUACAUAUAGCUGCAUUUGUGUUUGUCAUGGAAAAUGAAAAAUAUUGCUAGAGUUUAUAAUGUAAAACAAAAUGCAAAUGUGAAACGCAAAGCAUAUAAGCUAUUUUAGGGUAAAAUCCAUGAAUGACCAAAUGGCCCAAAAAAAAGAUCAAAUUGGAAAUACGAUCGGUCAACGGUUGAAUCGAUUGGUGCAAUCCAAUUUUCAAAACCAUGAAAAUUUUAAUAUAUGACUUAAGCAUGUAAGUUUGAUAUAACAACGAGUAAAAAAUAAAUUAUAGAAUCCCUUUAGAUGAAAAAAGAUUUUAAUAAUUAUAAAUUUUUAUGAGAUGGAUAUGAUUUAUUAAGAUAAUUUUAAAAAAUAAUAAAUAAAAUUUAAUAUUAAAUUUUAUUUAUAAGAAUAAAAUAUCUUAAGAUAAUUAUGAGGGUAGGUAGAGGAUGCUAUUUUUAUGAGAAGCAUAAUAUGAUGCGUUUUGCAUUAAAAAGUCAAAUUCAUCCACACAUGUCCAUGUCUAUGAAACACAUUACACCGAACAUUAUUUUCAAAUUCGGACAUUAUUUUCAAACCCAACCUACGUAAGGCAUGUUUUUUUUUUUUUUUUUCUUUUUAAUUAUUAAAUUAGUUGUAUUUUGGUUCAAAACUCACGUGGGAAGAAGACUAGAGGGGGAACAUUUUUGUUGCGAAGCUAUACGGAAUAAAAUUUAUUCAGAAGCCGGUCAAAACUCAAAUUUAUCUGCGGAACUUUUGUACUUAUCUUUUGACAAUUGGAAUGCUUCCCUACAAAUUAACUAAAUUAAUAGUCUCCUUGUUUUAUCAGAAGCGAAGGAAAAAGUAGGACUCAUGCAUCGUACAACACAAAUAGGCAGAUCUUUAGUCAUAGAUGGUGCAUGCCGUAAAGUAGCCGUCUUGAGCUUGGUAAGAAACCAAGCUAUUAAAACUUGACUUGAACUGUUCAUUCUCAAGGGGGUAAGUGCCAGCCAGGGUUCAAAUUUUAUGAUGCGGGCAUGCAAGACUUAUACCAAUCUGCCGUUCUAAUAAUAGAAUGUAGAAGACACCAAGCACCUCCUGCAUGCAUCUUGAGGCGGUGUAGACACGCAUCCCAAGGCGAAGUUGUUCUCUACGACCUAAGGAUCAAUUUAGUAAUUGUUUUAAAAAAUAGUUUUUUGAGGUCAAUUUUUGAAAAUUAUUUUUAAAAUUUUUAAAAUAAAAAUAUGUUAGAAAACCUAAAAUAUAACAUGUUUUUAAAUUUUUUAAAUAUAUUUUAAAAAUAAUUUUUAUAUAUUUUUAAUUCUUAUAUUUAUAUAAUUAUUUUUUAAAACAACGGUUAGAAAACAAGUAAAAACAAAUAAAUUUUUUUUAAAAAAAAACAUUCUAUUUUAUGUUAUUAAUAACUUUUAAUUAUCAAAAGUUUUAUUUUAUAUUUUUUGUUUUAAAGAACAAAAAGCCUGCUCAAAAAAACAGUUGCCAUAACUUUUUUCUGAUCUGUAGUGAUCCUAGGAAGGCUGUUUUCUAAAUAUAGUAAUAUAAUAAAAAAAUGUGGUCAUAGUAAGAAAAUACCGUUUGGACAUGUCCAUGGUAUUAUGCAUAUGCUUGAACAGGGAAGCUACCCACAGUUUAACCACAGUAAUCCAAUAGCAACAUCUAAGCUACCAUGGAUUUCCUUCUCCAAUGCCUAAACCCUGCCAUGGUUGGAGCAUUUGCAAUACUUGUCCUCUCCUACUACCUGUUAUUAUGGCGGUCUGGAGCUGGUAAGGGCAGAAUGGCACCUGAAGCUGCUGGUGCAUGGCCCAUAAUAGGUCACCUACACCUCCUAGGUGGGUCUAAGAAUUUGCCCCACUUACUUUUGGGAACCAUGGCCGACAAGUAUGGAGCAGUAUUCAGCGUUCGGCUGGGAUUGGAAAGAGCUGUGGUGGUGAGUAGUUGGCAGAUGGCCAAGGAAUGCUUCACCACCCAUGACCUGGCUCUGGCCUCCCGUCCUCAACUUGUAAUCUCCAAACAAUUGGGAUAUAACGAUGCCAUGUUUGCUUUCUCUCCUCACGGUGCAUACUGGCGGGAAGUGCGAAAGAUAGCCACUCUAGAGCUCCUCUCGAACCGCCGGCUAGAGUUGCUGAAGAACGUCCGAAUCUCAGAGGUGGAGACAUGCAUGAAGGAACUAUACAAGCUUUGGGCUGAGAAGAAAAACGAGGCAGGCGUUGUUUUGGUGGACAUGAAGCAAUGGUUUGGGGACUUGACUCUGAACGUGAUUCUUAUGAUGGUUGCUGGAAAACGAUAUUUCGGUUAUACAGCCGAAAGUCAAGAGAAAGAGACCCAGCGGUGCCAGAAAUCGAUUAGGGAAUUCUUUCGUUUGUUGGGUCUCUUUGUGGUGUCGGAUGCCCUUCCUUUUCUUGGCUGGCUUGACGUGGGUGGACAUCUGAAAGCCACGAAGAAGACUGCAAAAGAAAUGGAUGGUAUUGCUCAGGAAUGGUUAGAGGAACACCGACAGCGAAAAGAUUCGGGUGAAGCUAAUGGUAACCAGGACUUAAUGGACGUGAUGCUGUCCAUUCUGGCUGGCACGGACCCUACCGGCUAUGAUGCCGAUACAAUCAACAAAGCCACAUCCCUGGUAUGCACAUUAUUCCUCGAGCACCUUUAUAUGCUACUAAAAAAAAUGACAUUCUUCUCAAGACAUAAUUUCAUGCUUUAUCCUCUUUAGUCGGGACUCUCAGACUCUCGAGAGUACUCACACCUUCAAUGGAAUAACUUUCUGUUGCUGGUUGAAGCUAGUCAAAGUCAAUACUUUUUAAAAGAUAAUAUUAGAUUUAUAAAAGUUUUAUCAAUUAUGAAAGAAUUUUUUGCAUCAGCGCAAAUAGAAUUUUUUUACUUAAAAAUAAAACGUUUUUGAUUUCAUAUUGUGUUUUAUUAUACGUUGUUAUUUGUCAAAAGAGUAACAUGAGAAGCUUCGACAAGCAAUUAUAAUGAAAUACAACCCACCUGAGAAUCUGAGCGUAACUAGAAUUAUGACGAACCUCUGGCUUGGGUGUUUGGGCUGGGCUGGUAAUGAUCCAACUCUCCUCUGGGUGGCUGGCCCAUUCUUGUCAGAAGAUCAUGAAAGUGUGUUCAUUAUUCCUCAUGCUUUGAGGCCUCAUUGACUGGGCUUCUUGAUCUUGAGUUGGUUAGACAAUUACGCCUUUCAAAGACUCCUCGUCAUAAUAAAUACAGGGGCUUUCCCUCGUAAAUUUAAGGAUUUUUAUAUUUUAUAUUUUAUUUUAAUUUUGAAGGCCAACAUGAACUUUUAUAAAAUGCUAAAUUUAUGAGCGAGUUUCAAAUUCAAGCUACUUUUGAUCGACGGACACUAAACUCUAACUCUAGAAGCAGACUCCUAUUGGUUUCUAAGGGGCACUCACUCUUGAAAAUAAAUAAAUAAAUAAAUUGAAGCCUUUUCCUCCUUAAUCCUGUUAGUAGUUAUAAUUUUAUUAACAUUAGUUAAUGUUUUGUACUUGACAGAUUUUGAUUGCAGGAGGCAGUGACACUACAUCUGUUACUCUAACAUGGGCGAUCUCACUUUUAUUGAAUAAUCCAUGUAUGUUAAGAAAAGCCCAAGAAGAAUUGGACACUCAUGUUGGUAAAGGGAGAUUGGUAAAUGAAGUGGAUUUAAGCAAGUUGGUCUACCUCCAAGCAAUUGUUAAAGAGACAUUGAGGUUAUAUCCCGCAUUUCCACUUUCAGGACCACGCCAAUUUAACCAAGAUUCCAUUUUAGGUGGUUACCGUAUCCCAAAAGGCACUCGUCUUGUGUUGAACCUCACUAAGAUCCAAAGAGACCCAAGUAUAUGGUUGAACCCAACAGAGUUUCAACCAGAAAGAUUCCUCACUACUCACAAAGACAUUGAUAUGAGGGUCAAAAAUUUUGAGUUUACACCAUUUGGUGGUGGAAGAAGAAUUUGCCCUGGUGCAACUUUUGCCCUUCAAGUGCUACACUUAACAUUAGCCAAUUUCUUGCACAAAUUUCAACUUUCGACUCCAUCAGAUGCAACAGUUGAUAUGAGCGAGAGCCUUGGGAUAACAAACAUCAAAUCCACUCCACUUGAAGUUCUCAUCUCGCCACGUUUGUCUUCUUGUGAUCUUUAUGAGUAAAACCAAUGAAUGUUGAGAGAGACUAUUUCAAGAAACCUAGUAUUAUAUAUAGGAAAUAAAAAUACAAAUAAAAUUUGUACAUGUGGUACAAGUUUAAAAUAAUAACUAAUGAGUACUAUACUUUUUUAAUUUUAUCUUAGCUUGAAUUUUGGUGUUUUUUUUUUCUCCUUGUAGAAGAAAAAGUGGCAUAUAGCAUUUUUCUUUCGGUAUAGAUAGUGAAAAAUAAGUAUGCACUUGACCAUAUGCAUACGUGUGCAAUAGACUUAAUGAGUUGCAAGUUGAUAAUUGAUCUGUCUUUUGGUAGAUUUUAGUUGCCUUCUUGUACAUCAUUAAAGUAGAAGAUAAAGACGAAAAUUAUAACUUCACCCAUUCAAUUAAAAAUCAAUUUAAUUGAAUUUAAAGAAGAAAAUGGUUGGUUCGGUUUGACUAACAAUAAUUGAUUCGUCGGUUUAUUUUGUUUCAAUUUGUUUUGGUUUGUUGUAACAAUAAAAAUCAUUUUUUUUGGUUAAUUUGGACUAAAAAAAAAAAACCAUGAUUAGAUAAAAACUAUAAAUGUGCAUAUGAAGUUGUAUCGAAUGUGAAAGCUUUUCAUCAAAUUAAUAAUAUAACCAAUACUCAUAUUAUUGAUGUAAAUAUAGAACUUCUAGAUAAGUUCAAUUUGUUUUACUAUUGAUUUUUUAAAUAGGUAACCGAAUUGGUCUAAUUCAAUUUUAUAUUUUAAAACCCAAUAUUAUUAAAAGAAAAAUUGCUAAAAAUUAGUGGAUUAGGGUUAGUUCAUUGAUUCUGUCUACACCCCAAAAAGAAGAGUGUCCACUUCGUAUUGUCAACUUUGUGUGCUUAUAAGUUACAAUUUUGCACCAUGAGAUUCACAUUUGUACUUAUUAUUGCUAAUUUUGUGUGGUCAUAAGUUAUAAUUUUACCCCACUAGAUUCACAUUUGCUAGCAUCAUAAUUGACUUUCUACAUCCAUGCAUUCAUGAAUCAUUACAUUUCAAUACUGUAUUACCAUUUUGGUGCUAAACAAGAAGACUCGUCUUUAAAGUACUCAAGCAAACCCUCACCAAUUUUAAUCAUUUUUCAAUUUAGAUGAAUGGGAGCAACAACACUAGAACAAUGAAGUAGAUGAUGAAAUAAAAUAAAAAACAAAGAUAGUAUACAAACUCUAAUUUUAUUGGUUUGUCAUAGUCUUGACUUAUAUGCACUCUCCUCAAACUUUAAAAUUCUGCUAACUUCUAAUCCUUCAAGCCAAUCUUAAACUCUUACAUUUUGAUUCUUGAUUCCAAAAGACCUUCUUACACUUGCCUCAAUAGAUUCUUUACUUUUGAAUACACUAGUCACAAGUUGUUAACAAUUGAACAAAAUUAAUCUUUCUAAAUCUUAAUUAGUACAAGUUUAAACUUGAGAAAAUACAAGAGGAAAUUAGGAUGUUUUGUCUUAGAUAAGAUUUAUAAGUUAAUCAAGAAUUUUACAUUGAGAACAAAGAGUUAAGAUCAAUUCAGUUAAGUGAGAUUGUAGGAUCUAAUUAGUUUGAGAUCUUAAGCGGUCCUGUUAUAAUCUUAUUAUUUUAUUCCAAAAUUGCCUAAGAGGGAAGUAGUAAUUUAGGACAACAAUUCCCUCCCAAAGUUUAUUGGUUUGAAACUAAUACUUUAUUAUACCAGCAUGUUUGAGUUGAAAACACAAAAAUUGAAGCUAAGGCAAGUACUUUACAAUUCGGAUUGGGUUGCAUCGAGCUUUGGUGGUAACUACUUGGGAGAUGGCUAAAGAAUGCUUGACCGCCAAUGACCAGGUUUCAUCCUCGCGUCCCGAACUUUUAGCCGCAAAACAUUUGGGCUACAACUACGCCAUGUUUGGUUUCUCUCCAUACGGUUCUUACUGGCGUGAAGUGCGCAAGAUAAUCAGCCUAGAGUUACUCUCUAACCGCUGCCUAGAGCUGCUGAAGGACGUCUGUGCUUCAGAAGUGGUGACAUCCAUAAAAGAGCUAUACAAGCUCUAGGCAGAGAAAAAAAAUGAAUCGGGCCUUGUCUCGGUGGAAAUGAAGUAGUGGUUUGGAGAUUUGACUCUGAACGUAAUUCUUAGGAUGGUGGCAGGGAAGCGUUAUUUCAGUGCUUCAGAUGCAAGUGAAAAUAAACAGGCGCAGAGGUGCUGGAGAGUGUUCAGGGAAUUUUUUCAUUUGGUAGGGCUCUUUGCGGUGGCGGACGCUAUUCCUUUUCUUGGAUGGCUCAACUGGGGGAGACAUGAGAAUACCCUAAAGAAGACAACAAUAGAAAUGGACAAUAUUGCUCAAGAAUGGUUAGAGGAGCACCGUUGGAAAUCAUGAUAAUAGUACGCAAGACUUCAUGGAUGUGAUGCUGUUAGUUCUUGAUGGCAAAAAUCUUGGUGAGUACGAAAGCCACAUGCUUGUGUGGACCCGCAUUUUUCACGUGCACCUCCACUCAAUCGGCGAGACUCGUUUUUUUUUGGUGAAGAUGUUGUUUUUGGAAAAGUCGGAGUCGCCACUUAUUUUAUUUUAUUUUAAAGGGAAAAUAAAACAAGAAAUAAAACCCUAAAAAAUGACUCCAUAGUUUUUUGGAAAAGCAUGUCUUUGAAAAACCCGAGUCUAGGUCCGGGGAUCAGGUUACUUAUUGGGAAGGUACCUCCAGGAGAUAGCACCUCUCUAAGCCCUACAAAGGUCCCUACUGACUAUGUUGAAGGAAAUGUGGCAAUCAACUGAUUAAUUGAGGGUACCUAGGUAGGCUAAGGUGAUCUCAAAACUAGCAUGCUAAACAAGAAAAACCAAUCACGCCCAUAAAGGAAAGUUAGGAUGCGUACCUGGACCACUUCUUAAGCGCUAUCAUAAAACAUCAAUGGUUAGUUUAGAUAAUAUAUCACUCAGUAUGUGUUUUAUCAUGAAUGAUCAAACAAUGUAGCAAAUAUCAAGACAUCCCAAGCAUUCUCAAACAUAGGUAUAAAUCAUAAUGACGAUCAUAUUUACAAAAUUUGGAAGGUAGGUGACAGGAGACGUACCUGGAUAGCAUAGAUAACUUGUAACGUGCUUUCACAAGACAUGAGAGGUUAGAUAACAAACAAUAAAAUAAGAAGUCCUAGCAUGUUUGUUAUCUAAUUAGCAUAGAAAAAAAAAAUUAUCAUAGUAUAUGAAACCAUCAAUUAUCACUUAUAUCUUCUGUAUAAUUUCUAAAAAAUAAAUAGACAUGAUUUCCUUAAAUAGCAAAGGGGGCAACAAAGAUGAGUUUUGAAAAUUUUCCUUAUGUAGGGGCUUCACCAAUUCCCCGAUUGAUAUACACAAAUCUAGUUUAGAAUUAUCCCAUUUGUUUGGGACCACAAGCUUGGAUUCAUGUCUUACUCAAAACUGUAAUUUUAUUUGAAAUUUAAGAAAGAUGCAAACAGAUCAAAACAUGGUUGCACAUUAUUUGAGAAAAUGAGAUUUCGAUUCUAAGAACUCUAAAUGAAUUUUUGAAAUGGAUUCCUAAAGGGAAUGAGAUUUUGAUUCUAAGAACUUUAAAUGAAUUUUUGAAAUGGAUUUUUAAAGGGAUUUUUUUUAGAAUAGUGUUAUGUUUUAAAAAUAAAAGAAAUUAAUUUCAAAACAAUAAAACGUAUGAAUCAAAUACCAAGCAAAACAAAAGAGAACAAAAUCACAAAGUAGAAUUUUUGACAACCAAGAAAAUUGAAGUGGUGAGAAUGGAAGCCAAUCUUCACUAUUUUUCGAUGGUCUCCAAAAAGUAAAUUUUACUAGAGACUACCAAAGCAAUAAACUAUUCAAACUUGGAUCAAAUAAGCUAACGAAAUACCCACCAAGAAUUAAUGACGAAAAUUCAAGAAACACAUCUACUAAGAAUAACAAUCAAGAAUUAGCAUGAGAUCAAUUAAACACACAAACGCAUCUAGAUUAACUAAAAUGAACCAAAUUAAAUCAAAGCAAACAAUAAUUUUCAAACAUAGAAUUAACUUUAUUAAUGAACUAAUAUUAUAUAAAAUACCUAAAUCGAAUAGAUGUGCAAAACUAAAUCAAAGUAAACUAAAGGCAUGAAUUCUCAAAAAUAGAAUUGAUUUUAUUAAUGACCUAAAAUUAUACAAACUCCUAAAAUAAUUAAAAUGAAUCAAUUUAAACGAAAGGAAACUAAAACAAAAUAUGAAUUCAGGGAAUCUAAUUUCGAAAUAAACUUACAUUAUUAAAAUGAAAUCUAGGCUUAAAAACUAUUAAACACUAAUUAAAGCCAAUCUAAACUUAAAUUCUUAACACACAUGAUCAAUUAUUUUAACAAACUAACAUUUUACCUUAACCACAAAUUAAAUUAAAAAACUACUUGAGACUAAAUUUCUAACCUAUAAAAUUAAACUCAUAAUCAAAUGGAUAAGUUGAUGACACAGACAAAUAAAUAUGAAUAAAAUAAAAUAUGAAUGAAAUGAAAUACGAACACAAGGAAUUAAAUAAUUUUUUCUUUUUUUUAAUAAACUUAUGUUAGUAAAAUAAAUUUGAGCUUAACAAACAUUUUUAUCACUAAUUAAGGCAAGUUUAAAAUAUAAUACUUAACACAUAAAAAAUCAAUCAUUUCAACAAACUAUAAUUUUAACUAAACUUAAAGUCAAUUCAAACAACCUUCAAUAGAUUUUUUUAUUUUUAUUUUAAACUGAAUUUUUAACCCAUAGAUUCAAUCUCAUUGAUAAAUAAAUAAAUAAAUAAGUUACAAAGCAUUAGCUUAGUAGCAAAUAAAUAAAUAAACAACUAAUAAUUAAAUGAAUCACAACUAAACUAAAUAAAGAUCAAACUAUAUUAUUUUUUUUAUUUUUCAAAAGUAGAAUUACAUGAAUUUGUAUUUUUUGAAUUUAAUAUAAUAUACCAAACUAAACUUAAACACAAUUCUCAUUCUGCCAUAUUAAAACAAAAAAUGCAUGGAGUUAGUAAAUAAAGUCAAAUGACACAAUAUAAUAAUAAUUCCACUAAAAAACCAAUCAAACUAAUUAAAAUUCUAAAAAAUAUCAACUAAAACAAGAUCAAUCAAAAUUAGCGUGUAUAUAUAUAUAUAUAUAUAUAUAUAUAUAUAUAUAUAUAUAUAUAUAUAUAUAUAUAUCUUUAUUUUUAGUUAUUUAUUUAUUAAAACACGAAUACAUCAACACGAAACGAAAUAAACUAACCAACUUACAUUCUAAAACUAAAAGGAUAAAUCAUGAAUUAAAAUUAACAACCUUUGGAUAUGAAAAGAGUGGCAUGGAAUCAAUUGAAAUAAUAAACUAAAAUUUAAUAACAUCUAAACUAAAAGAUAAAUUAAAACUAAAUUAAAUGAAAUUAUGAACUUCCUAAUUGAGAAAAAAAAUAAUAAUAGUAAUAAAUCUAAUCAAAAUUCUAAAUUUUAAACCAUCAUCAUGAAUUGCCCAAACUCUUAAAAAAUCCUAACCUUUCCAUUAUCAACAAAAAUUGCCUAAACCAAUAUUUAAAAAAUCUAAUUUGUCAAACUAAGAAUAAUAAAUUGUAACUACAUUAAACAAAAAUCAUAAUCUUCAAGCUAGAAUAAUGAAUCAAUAAUAAUUAAUUUAUUUAGAUAAGAAAAAUUAAAAAAAUAAAUUAAAGAUUAACAUCUAAGCUAAACAUGAAUUUACAAUAAAAAUUUAAAAUACAAAGAUUGAAUGGGAAUAAUUUUAAAACUAAUAAAUUGUCAUCAGGAAAUAUAUUGAUAUUAGAAAUAAUUAAACUAUAUAGAUAAAACUCUAAAACGAUUAUGCAUUGAAUUGAAUAUUUCUUGAAUCAAAAUUGAAAUAGGAAGGAUAAAUUCACAUUUUCCGAAACGUGUAGGUCACUUUCCACUAGUAGGAUUUCUAUUUUUUAUUUUAUUUUAAAAGAAUCAUUGCCAAGGAUGCAUGGUGUGGUGGCUGCCCAUGCACUGUAGCUGAAGACUUCUUCUUGGUGGUCUUUGAAACCUAGGAGCAUGGCUGAAUGUUUCCUUUCUUCCAAUAGUGCAACUGCUCCGGAAGUCCUCUCAACGGUGCGGCUGAUUCAGAAAUCGUCAUCUCAAUGGUGCGGCUGUUUCGGAAAUCUUCCUCUCAAUGGUGCGGCUACACCCUCUCACAUUCCAGAAAAUAAUCUUACUCCUCCCACCUGGAUCCCCUUUAGUGCGGCUGUUGAUCUCCUUCCCGUUUGGUGUCACCCUCUCUUCUGAUGCAUGCUGAAAGCGUCCCAAGAAUGGUGCAGCUGGUCGUUCUUGCUUCUCCAAAGGCGUCAGACCCUCUUAUGCGUGCUGAAAGCGUCCUAAGUAUGGUGCGGCUGGUCGUUCACCCCUCUCCAAAAAAAACUCUCCCCCCUCUCACUUUCUAACCUUCCUCUCCAGUACUCUGCCAACAUGGGAAGACAACUCACCAGCCCGGAGAGCCUCAAUCAUCCACGUCAGUCUAGCAUCAUCAGGACUCUCCUUCCUGAACAUAGUCUUCAUUCCGUCCAAAUACCCAUUGAACAUUUCCUUUUUCCAUGCCAAAAGAACUUUGGUAAUUUUCUUUCUUCAUUCAUUUCCUUCCAUUAGAAGCACAAUCAACACAUGCAUGGGUGCAUACUUGCUUUCCUUCUUAGUUCAUUUUCUUCCAUACGUCCUGUCCUCUUCCAACCACCUUGAAUCCAUCCUUUAACCCGCUGAAUAUUUCCUUUCCAUAAUCACACAUGAAAAUUCCUCUUUUUAAUUUUUUUUUUUGACUGAAUAUCCUCUAUUUCCUGAAAGACUCACACAUGAAUAUCCUUGCCAAUACACGUUUUCAACCUUCCUUUUUCUCUCCAGUGAUGAUUCCUUUGGUGAGUUUCUCUACAAAAAUAUAAAGAAAAUUAGACUUAAUGAAUGAAUCCCAAGGUGUUUUAGAAAAUUAUAAAAUAAAUUAACAAAAUAAUUAAGUAAAUAAUGAUAAUAAUAAUAAUAAUAAUAAUAAUAAUAAUAGUAAAGUGUCAUGCAAUCUAUGCAACCAUGCAAUCAUGUGAGCAACUCAAGUCAUGCAAAGAAUGUCUAAUGGGCCUCGGGUGUAUCUAAUGGACCUAAAGGGUCUAAGUGGACCAAUGAUGGUGCCUAAUGGGCCUAAGUGGGCCUAGGGUGGUGCCUAAUGGACCUAAAGGGUCUAAGUGGGCUUAGGGUGGUGCCCAAGUGUAUCUAAGUGAACCUAAAGUGCUUAAGUGGAUCUAAGUGAACCUAAAGUGUUUAAGUGGAUCUAAGUGAACCUAAAGUGCCUAAAUGGGCCUAAGUCUAAAUUAGGGCUACUAAGAGUCACAAUAGGGUUAAAUGAAUCCCUCUACCAAAGUCUCCGAGGUGGCUCAAAAAAGGUAAGUAGUAUGAGUAGCUAUGGGCCACUAAGGAACUACUGUGGAGCACUGGAAGUGAACUUAAAGACAUGUGCUAAAGGAACAAAAUUGAGGGUCUACAACCUGGUAUGAGUAUUAAUGGAACACCCACGUAACAUUGAUAAAGACAAAUUGCAAGGAUAAGGCAAUGAUCGAACAAAUAACCUAUGAUUAAACAAGAUCAUUCAAAAUCAAUUUUGUAUAUUUUUGUAACCGUUAUUUGAUGUGUUGACUUGAACAAUUCUGUAACUGUUGUAUAGUUGUAGGCAAAUUGAUGUACAUUGCCGCAAAUAGUUUUUCUUAGCUAUGCAUAUAAGUAAACUCUUAUUACAUCAAUAAAAGUGUGAAAAUUUUCAUUGAAAACAACAAUGUUAUUUCUUCUAUACUAUUUAUAUUUGCAUAGGGCUAGCUUCUUUUCCAUAGUUUUUCUUUUGUUUAUAUGUUUUAAUUGAUGCAUAUUCACUUUCUUAUUCUCUUAAUUAAAUUGCAAUAAUUAAAACUCUAAUUUAAAUAAAUUUUAAAAUUUAUUUUUAACUAAAAACAACAAUAUACAUAUACAAAUAUAUACUGCUUAAGUAAUUAAUUUUUUUAAAAAAUAUCCUUUGAGAACAUCUCAGACAAACUAAGACAUGCUUCUAGGGAAAUCUAAAUAUAAUGUUUUUAAAAGCUACCUUGUAAUUUUAUUUUCGAGCAUGUUGCAUUAUAUAUACUUUCCUUGAAUUGAUUUUCCAAAUUUUAUUUUUGUCAACAAUAAGGGUUAUCUACGUUUUGGAAGAUAUCUUUAAUUUCCCCUCCAAAGAAUAAGUGAUCUUGAAACUUAUAAGUUAAUUAUGUUCACUUGAUCGAAUAAGAGAUUUGAACAAUCUUGUAAAAAGAUGUUAAGCAGAUGGUUGAUUUCGAAAUUAUCCUUUAAACUAUAAAGGGAAAUAGAAAAAAAUACUAUUAUUUUGGUACAAGACCAUAUUGUUUAGUAGUGUCUCUAGGGAGUUCCAUUAGAUGCUAUCAAACAAUUAAUUUGGUGUCUCACUAACGUAAUUUUGAGUUGUUGAAUUUUGGGUUUUGCAAACUCUAAUUGCUGGAGGUAGUGACACAACUGUUGUCUCUCUAACCUGGGUAUUCUCUCUUUUACUCAACAACCGCGACACCUAAAAAAAAGCUAAAAAAAAAAAAUAUUCAAGUUGGCAAGGAAAGAUUAGUGAAUGAACAAGAUAUAAGUAAGUUGGUCUAUCUUCAAGCCAUUCUUAAAGAAAUUGAGAAAAUAAAGGCUAAUCUUAAAAGAUAAAAACACCCAAGAGGGGGGUGAAUUGAGUUUUUAAAAAUUAUUUUUAAACACAACAAAUUUAAGCAUAAGAGAAUCAAAUAUAAAAAGAUAAGGUUAGAGAAAUCAAACUCAGAUUUUAUAAUGGUUCAACACUUCCUUACCUACAUCCACUCUCCUCAAGCUCUUAACCGAGUGAGGGUUCCACUAACAUGAAGUUUCAACCAAACUUCUAAUUACAUUUACACUUAGAUUCCGGCUCCAAUGGGCUCUUACACAAUCUCUUCAAGUUUCAACUCACUUAAAGACUUUAACACUAAGUUAACAAGUAUGAAUCUCUCAACUUAGCUCAACAAUGACUCAAAUACAACCCAAAGCUAGGAUGAAUCACAAAGGUGCACUAAAGGAUAUGUAAAUGGAGAUUUAAUGCACCAAGAAAAGAAAUGAGAGCUUUUAAGGCAAGAACAAAUAGGUAAGCAAAUAAAUGCAUGUGUUCUCUUACUCAUAAAUGAAGUGGAACUCUUUAUUUAUAGGUUUUUAACAUUAUAAGCCAAAAAACCAAAAAAACAGUCUCAAUCGGUUGAGCUGAGGGUCAAUCGGUUCACUAGCCAUUGCAGCAUUUAAUGCUUGUCAGGUGACAGUUACCCUCGACCGGGAAGACAAAUCCCUCGACUGGGAAGGAAAGGCUACUGAAAAAGAGAGAGUCUUUUUUGCACCUCUCGGUCGGACCUCAACAGGAAAGGGGGAGCCGGUCGACCGGUACCCUAGUCAAUUGAGCCUGUUUGGACAUAGCCUUGAUCGGUUCACAAUUUUUUACCCGAAAACCUAUCUUUUUCUAGUAUUUUUGCUUCAAACACAUAGGUAAGGUCUUCAGAUAAAAUAUAUGCCAAUUUUGAAACGUUUAGCUUAAGGUUCAUUUGAUAGAUCUCGGAUUUUGGUGAAAAUGUAACUUUAAAGCAUAAAUCGAGUUUUUCAAAGAUGCAUGAAAUAAUAUGUAAAUCCUAAGUGUAUCAAUGCAUUCAUCUUACAUAUGUUUCCUAUCAUUAAAGGUCUUUCCAAAAGUCUUGAUCUUGCAUCCAUUAGGUCAUUUGAUGAAUUUCCAAAUUAACACCUGAAAUUUUUUAUAAUUUAAACCAAUUAGUAACUUAACUAUGAUUUGUUAUCAUCAAAACAUGAUUAGGAGAACCCUUGGGCUAACAGAGACAUUACGGUUAUAUCCACCAAGACCACUUGGAGGACUAUGCCAAUUUAUUGAGGAUUGCACCUUGGGUGGAUACCAUGUCUUUAAAGACACUUGUUUAAUAAUGAACCUUUCGAAGAUCCAAAAUAUCCAAGAAUCUAGUUAGAUUCGAUAGAAUUCUAACCAGAGAGGUUUCUCAUCAACCAUAAGAAUGUUGAUCCUUAGGGAAAACAUUUUGAAUUUAUACCAUUUGGAGCUGGUCAAAGAGCAUGUCUAGGAAUAGCUUUUGGUCUUCAAAUAUUAUAUUUAGCAUUAGCUAGUUUCUUACAUGCAUUUGACUUUUCAACUCCAUCAAAUGAACAUGUUGAUAUGCGAGAGAGCUUUGGACUUACAAAUAUGAAAUCUAUCCCACUCGAAGUUUUCAUUUCUCAAAUCUACCCCACUUGAAAUCCUCAUUUCUCUACACUUAUCUUCUUGUAGUCUUUACAACUAAAACAUUGAAAUGAAGAGGUCAAAGUUGACCCAGCUAGUCUUGGUUUAAAGACAUAUAGAGUUAGGUUCAAUCAAUCUAUGAUAAGAUUUGAGAUUUGUAUUAAAAGUAGGUUGGACUAAGAAUGAUGUACAAUAAACUAAAGUACUAUCCAUGCAAAUAAAGUAUAACAUUAUAUAUUAUUUGGUUAGCAUUCUGAAAUGUAACAUCAUAAUUAUUUCUUUGUUUUGUCUAAUUUAUCGCCAUUUCACCCCCUCAUCUUCAUCAAAACAAAUAAUAUAUAGUCUUUCUAUUUUUAAAAAUCAAAUUCGAUUCCCAAUUAUAUAAGAAUUUUACUAUUACUUUAUAAUAAACUUUACUUUAGUCUUAAUAACUUUGACUUGUAAAUAUGUUCUCCAUCCUUAAUUAAAUAUACAGAUAAUUUCAUUCAUUUUUUCUAAGAUUGGAGUUAAAUUUACCCAUCCAUACUUAACUUGAAAUUUUCUUAAAUAUCUGUUUUUUUUUCAUUUUUUUUACACGUAUAUCUUUUAAUUUAAAAUAAAAAAUAUUUAAUAAAAUUUCAAAAUAAUAGUUGUCAGACAUAUUUAUGUGACAUUUUCGAAGAGGUGAAUGAAACUAAACUUUUCUUUAAAUAUAAAAUCAUAAAAAUUUAAUAUAUGCAAGCAUGAUCCGGUCUAAAUAUGAUAUAUAAUUUGUGUCAUUUCAAAAAAUCACAGAAGAUCCUUUUGGCAAAGUGGCCCCCCAUUUGAGUUGUAUUCCGUAAUUGGUCACCACAUGUUAUAUCAUUUCAAAGAUUAUGGAGGAUCAUGUUGCCAAUCAUUAUCAGAAGAAGUACAGCUUCCUCUAUAAAACUAAUCAAUACGAUAUUUAGCACAUGCAAACAAAUUUGGAAGGAUCUGAAAGUCAAGUCUACGGGCCACCCCUUUACGACUUGUUCGAAAAAGCACAAAUCAAUGGUGGUGCCACUUGCCAGCAGUCUGUUUCAAUAUCUAAAUGUUACCUCGGUAAGAUUGCUUGACAUACUUUUUGUCUCCUACUAUCUCAUGGAGAUCCAGAGUUGGUAAGAUAAGAAUAGCAUCCGAAGCUGCUGGUGCAUGGCCAAUAAUCGGUCACCUCCUCUUAGGUGGGUCACAACUUCCUGGGAUUUUUUAUAAAAUUACGGUAGAUUUAAAAUUAAUUUUUUUAAAAUGCAGCAUAUUAAUGCUUGACAGCUGACAGUUACCCUCGAUCGGAAAGACAAAUCCCUCGACUGGGAAGGAAAGGCUACUGAAAAAGAGAGAGUGUUUUUUGCACCUCUCGGUCGGACAUCAACAGGGAAGGGGGAACCGGUCGAUCGGUACCCUAGUCAGUUGAGCCUGUUUGGACAGAACCUUGACCGGUUCACAAUUUUUUACCCGAAAACCUUUUUUUUUUUUGGUCUUUUUGCUUCAAACACUUAGACAAUGUCUUCAGAUAAAAUUAUAUACCAAUUUUGAAACGUUUUGCCUAAGGUUCAUUUCAUAGAUCUCGGAUUUUGAUGAAAAUGUAACUUUAAAGCAUAAAUCGAGUUUUUCAAAGAUGCAUGAAAUAAUAUGUAAAUCCUAAGUGCAUCAAUGCAUUUAUCUUACAUAUGUUUCCUAUCAUUAAAGGUCUUUCCAAAAGUCUUGAUCUUGCAUCCAUUAGGUCAUUUGAUGAAUUUCCAAAUUAACACCUGAAAUUUUUUAUAAUUUAAACCAAUUAGUAACUUAACUAUGGUUUGUUAUCAUCAAAACAUGAUUAGGAGAACCCUUGGGCUAACAGAGACAUUACGGUUAUAUCCACCAGGACCACUUGGAGGACUAUGCCAAUUUAUUGAGGAUUGCACCUUGGGUGGAUACCAUGUCUCUAAAGGCACCCGUUUAAUAAUGAACCUUUCGAAGAUCCAAAAGGAUCCAAGAAUCUAGUUAGAUUCGAUAGAAUUCCAACCAGAGAGGUUUCUCAUCAACCAUAAGAAUGUUGAUCCUUAGGGAAAACAUUUUGAAUUUAUACCAUUUGGAGCUGGUCAAAGAGCAUGUCCAGGAAUAGCUUUUGCUCUUCAAAUAUUAUAUUUAACAUUAGCUAGUUUCUUACAUGCAUUUGACUUUUCAACUCCAUCAAAUGAACAGGUUGAUAUGCGAGAGAGCCUUGAACUUAUAAAUAUGAAAUCUAUCCCACUUGAAGUUUUCAUUUCUCAAAUCUACCCCACUUGAAAUCCUCAUUUCUCUACACUUAUCUUCUUGUAGUCUUUACAACUAAAGCAUUGAAAUGAAGAGGUCAAAGUUGACCUAGCUAAUCUUGGUUUAAAGACAUAUGGAGUUAGGUUCAAUCAAUCUAUAAUAAGAUUUGGGAUUUGUAUUAAAAGUAGGUUGGACUAAGAAUGAUGUACAAUAAACUAAAGUACUAUCCAUGCAAAUAAAGUAUAACAUUAUAUAUUAUUUGGUUAGCCUUUUGGAAUGUAACAUCAUAAUUAUUUCUUUGUUUUGUCUAAUUUAUCGCCAUUUUUUCCCUUUCUCUUAUUCCCUCAUCUUCAUCAAAACAAAUAAUAUGUAGUUUUUCUAUUUUUAAAAAUCAAAUUCGAUUCCCAAUUAUAUAAGAAUUUUACUAUUACUUUAUAAUAAACUUUACUUUAGUCUUAAUAACUUUGACCUGUAAAUAUGUUCUCCAUCCUUAAUUAAAUAUACGGAUAAUUUCAUUCAUUUUUUCUAAGAUUGAAGUUAAAUUUACCCAUCCAUACUUAACUUGAAAUUUUCUUAAAUAUCUAUUUUUUUUCCUUUUUUUUACACAUAUAUCUUUUAAUUUAAAAUAAAAAAUAUUUAAUAAAAUUUCAAAAUAAUAGUUGUCAGAUAUAUUUAUGUGAAAUUUUCGAUGAGGUGGAUGAAACUAAACUUUUCUUUAAAUAUAAAAUCAUAAAAAUUUAAUAUAUGCAAGCAUGAUCCGGUCUAAAUAUGAUAUAUAAUUUGUGUCAUUUCAAAAAAUCAUAGAAGAUCCUUUUGGCAAAGUGGCCCCACCUUUGAGUUGUAUUCUGUAAUUGGUCACCACAUAUUAUAUAAUUUCAACGAUUAUGGAGGAUCAUGUUGCCAAUCAUUAUCAGAAGAAGUGCAGCUUCCUCUAUAAAACUAAUCAUAUUUAGCACACGCAAACAAAUUUGGAAGGAUCUGAAAGUCAAGUCUACGGGCCACCCCUUUACGGCUUGUUCGAAAAAGCACAAAUCGAUGGUGGUGCCACUUGCCAGCAGUCUGUUUCAAUAUCUAAAUGUUACCUCGGUGAGACUGCUUGACAUACUUUUUGUCUCCUACUAUCUCAUGGAGAUCCAGAGCUGGUAAGAUAAGAAUAGCAUCCGAAGCUGCUGGUGCAUGGCCAAUAACCGGUCACCUCCUCUUAGGUGGGUCACAACUUCCUGGGAUUUUUUAUAAAAUUACGGUAGAUUUAAAUUUAAUUUUUUUAAAAUGCAGCAUAUUAAAAAAUAUCUUUGAAUAAUAAUAAUAAAAUGACAAAUAAUAAAAAGGAAAGAAAGUUGUCUUGUGGCUAUAAGAAAGAAUAAUAUAAAAGAGAGAGAAGAGGAGAGGCGGAUAGAGAGAAGAGUAGCAGGAAAAAAAAAAAAGAGAACAGGGAGGUGCAUGCUGCAAAUCUUUGGGUGUUCGUAUGACGAGCAAAACGAGUUAUGUUUUGCGUGAAAAUUAAGGUGAAAAUUUUCUUUGACAUGAGGAACAUUCUUUCAAAGUUUGAUUUUAAUUUCAAUGAUUGGAUUUUUUGAUUUGUGGUGAGGUAGUUUAAUCCUAUAACUUUUGUUUAAUAUUUUUUCUUAAAAAAAUAUUAUGGAUUUUAUUACUGGGAGAUAAAUAUGUGUUAUUUGUGUUUUCUUUAUGUUAUUUGAAAUAUGAUUAUUGUUAGGGUGGAUUAUUAUGAUUUUUUUUUUUUUUUAUGUUUGCAAUGAUUUAAUUGAAGAAAAAUUAUUGUGUUGAUUGUUGGAAAUUAUUCAAUAUAUUAAGAAUAAAUAAAAUUUAUAUGAUUAUGGUUUAGACUAUGUUUUGAUGAUAUAUAAAUUAUUGUGAUUUUUUUUGUGGUUAUUUAAUUGAAGAAAAAUUGUUGUGAUGUAAUUGGAAUUAUUGAUUAUGUUUGGAGUAAAUAAAAAUUAUGUCCUAUAAAAUUAUGGAUGAUAACAUGUAAGUUUAUUAUAUUUCAUAUAUGGUUAUAUGAAAAAAAAUGAUGAAAGAUUUUAUGAAAUGGAAAAAGGAAAAAAAAAGAAAAAAAAAAUGAUGAUGAAAAGUAAAAGCCCGUAAAAGACGAAUUAAGAAAGAAAUGAGAUUUCUAGUAUGAAAACUACAAAAAUUUAUCUUAUGAAAACUCUAAAUGGGGAGUGUAUUUGGUACAGAUGCAUAUCAUUAAGUGAAAACCCAAAAACAAUAGUUUGUUACUUUACUGAAUGUAAACAUUUGCAUCAUGUUUUUAUUUGGAAGAAUGACAUGUAUUAAUUACUUGAAUGACGUCAAUGGUAUGUUUGGAUAUAUUAUUAGAGAUUGAAAUGAUUUAUUUAUUUUGUAAAUUUAGAAUUGUUUGAUAUGUUAUUUAUAUAAUUGAAUAAGAAAUGUGAUAAUUUUGAUUAGUUUAAUUUUAUAUGGUUGAUUUUUUAUUUAAUGACUAUAAUGCAUUGUUUUGAAAAUUGGAUCGGACCAACCGGUUCAAUCGCCAACUGGUGAUCUUUCCGGUUCCAUCCUCUCCUUUAAACCGCUAGAUGGUUGAACCGACCACAAACCACUAUUGGCAGUUGGACCGAUGAACCGCUUGGACCAGGUGGUUUUUCAUGAACUGCAUGGCUCAAUUCCAGCCCAGUCUUCCCCCCAUUUUUUCUUUCAUCCAAAUAGUCCAACCUUCCCCUCCUCUUUUUCAUAGGGUCCAAGUGAAAGCCCAAUAAGCCCAGCCUUACAUCUUAAUGGUCUUUAGGCAAAACCUAAACCCAUUUAAACCCCUCAAUGGGUUGUACCUUUGAACCCAUUAGUUACACAAAUAGCUUGAAUGAACUGUGUUUUACGCGCAUAUUCACAUCCACAUCCAUGUGGGAUUGCUGCUAUUUUAAGUCUAAAGAAAAAGCAACGCCACUUAGCUACAACACAAUUUGAUGCAAGUCUAGAAAAUAAAAAAAUCAGCAUGUGUUUCAAAAAAGAUUAAUAAUAUUAAAUAAAAUAAUAUAAUAUUUUCUGAAAUUAUAAAAUUAGUUAAAGUUAAAUAAUUAAAUUUUUACAUAUUCCAUUUAAUAAAGUUCAAAAUAUUAAUAUAUUUAUAUUUAUAUUUUGAUAAUAUCAAAGAUAAAAAAUAAAUAUUUUUAAUUUUUUAAUUUAUAUAAUAUUAUAUUUUGACAUAUAAUUGUUUUCUAUUGACUUAAAUUUUUUAAUUCAUUUGGGUGUAAAACACCUUACAAAACAAUGUGAAAAUGUUCACCCCUUUAUUUUUAUAAAAUUUUUAGAUACAAAUAUAGUUUAUAAGGAACCAUAAGAAAAUCAAGAAGUGUUCCAAAAAGCCUUAACAAAUAAAAGAAAAAUAAUAAUAAUAAUUUUUAAUUUAUAUUACCUUUUUGACAUGUACUAAUUUGAGUUAUAUGAAUUUUUGUAACUUAAAUUAUAUUUUGUUAUUUUGUAAAAUAUUUUUGGAAAUAUUUUUUACUUAGAUUUAUGUAGAUAUUUGGGUUAAUUUGGGAUUAAAUAUUGAUCUAUUCACUGUCAAAUUGGAUAGGAAUAAACUUUAAGGUCAACCCUUUGACCUGAUAUCACUAGUCGGAUUCUGAGUUGCCUUGGGUGUGACUAUAAUGGAUUUUCUUCUCCAAUGCCUAAACCCUGUCAUGGUUGGAGCGUUUGCAAUACUCGUCCUCUCAUACCACCUGUUAUUAUGGAGGUCUGGAGCUGGUAAGAGCAGAAUGGCACCUGAAGCUUCUGGUGCAUGGCCCAUAAUAGGCCACCUGCACCUGUUAGGUGGAUCUAAGAAUUUGCCUCACUUACUUUUUGGAACCAUGGCCGACAAGUAUGGACCAGUAUUCAGCAUCCGGCUGGGAUUAAAAAGAGCUGUGGUUGUGAGUAGUUGGGAAAUGGCCAAAGAAUGCUUCACCACCCAUGACCUGGCUCUGGCCUCCCGUCCUGAGCUUGUGGCCGCCAAAUAUUUGGGAUAUAACUAUGCCAUGUUUGGUUUAUCUCCUCACGGUGCAUACUGGCGUGAAGUGCGUAAGAUAGCCACUCUAGAGCUACUCUCGAACCGCCGGCUAGAGUUGCUGAAGAAUGUCCGAAUCUCAGAGGUGGAGACAUGCAUGAAGGAACUAUACGAGCUUUGGGCAAAGAAGAAAAGCGAAGCAGGCGUUGUUUUGGUGGACAUGAAGCAAUGGUUUGGGCACUUGUCUCUGAACGUGAUUCUUAAGAUGGUUGUUGGAAAACGAUAUUUCGGUUAUGCAGCCGAAAGUAAAGAGAAAGAGGCCCAGCAGUUCCAGAAGGCGAUUAGGGAAUUCUUUCGUUUGAUGGGACUCUUUGUGGUGUCGGAUGCCAUUCCUUUUCUUGGAUGGCUUGACGUGGGUGGACAUGUGAAAGCCAUGAAGAAGACUGCAAAAGAAUUGGACGGUAUUACUCAGGAAUGGUUAGAGGAACACCGACGGCGAAAAGAUUCGGGUGAAGCUGAUGGUGACCAGGACUUCAUGGACGUGAUGCUGUCCAUUCUGGGUGGUAGAGACACUACUGAUUAUGAUGCUGAUACCAUCAACAAAGCUACAUCCCUGGUAUGCACAUUAUUCCUUUAGCAUCUUUAUAUGGUAGUAAAAAAUGAGACAUAAUUUCAUGCUUUAUCAUCUUUAGUCCAGACUCAAGAGUACUUGGGCCUGGGUUGGAAGAACUUCUUAUUUUUGCUUAGUUUCAAGUUGAAACUAAUCAAAAGCAGCGAUUUUUAAAAGGUAAUUAUAAUAGUGGUGUUAUUAAAGGUCAAACAUAAAUAACUUUUUGCAUAAAUCAAAAUAGAGUUUAUAUAUAUAUAUAUAUAUAAAAUAUUUUUCUGAUCUUCAUAUUAAUUUUUCUAAGUCAUAACUUUUUUGAACAAAAUUAGUCAAACCAUAGAACUCUUGAACUUACAGAAAAGGGCUUUCGAUUUCUUAGAAAUAGAUACAUGAAGAGUUUUGUUAUAUGUUUGUUUUUGUCAAAAGAGUAACAUGAGCAGCUUAGACAAGCAAUUAGAAUGAAAUACAACUGGGCUGAGAAGCUGAGUAGAACUAGAAUUAUGUACAACCUCUUGCUAGGAUAAUUGGGUUGGACUUGUAAUGAUAGAGUUCUCCGUUGGAGUUAGGUGGCCCAAAAAGAUUGUGCUGUUUGAAUAGCUGGUCCUCUAAUUUAGGAAGAGGCAGCCGAAUUUGCAACGCUGGGUGGCUGGGCCCAUAGAAAAUAUUCUUGUCAGAAGAUUGUGAAAGUAUGUUCCUUAGUCCGCAAGGUUUGAGGCCUCUUUGAGUGGGCUUCUAGAGUCGGUUAGACAAUUGGGCCUUUCAAAGGAUUUCCUAAAUUUACAAUUUUUUUAGCCCAACAUGAAUUUUUAUAAAAUGCUAUAUUUAUACGUGAGUUUCAUAUUCAAGCUAAACAUACCCAUUUUGAUUGGAAAAAAAGGGAAAGAACAUGGGGCCUUUUUUCCACCCUUAAUCUUAUCACUACUUUUAAUUUUAUUUUAUUAGUUAAUGGUUUGUAUUUCACAGGUUAUGAUUGGAGGAGGCGCUGACACUACAUCUGGUACUUUAACAUGGGCAGUCUCACUUUUAUUGAACAAUCCACACAUAUUAAGAAAAGCUCAAGAAGAAUUGGAUGCUCAUGUUGGUAAAGAAAGACUAGUAAAUGAAAUGGAUAUAAGCAAGUUGGUUUACCUUCAAGCAAUUGUUAAAGAGACAUUGAGGUUAAAUCCAAUAGCCCCACUUUCAGGACCGCGUCAAUUCAUCCAAGAUUCUAUUUUAGGUGGUUACCAUAUCUCAAAAGGCACUCGUCUUAUAUUGAACCUUACCAAGAUUCAAAGAGACCCGAGAGUAUGGUUGAACCCAAUGGAGUUCCAACCAGAUAGAUUCCUCACCACCCACAAAGAUGUUGAUGUUAGAGG
RNAcentral lists this long non-coding RNA (28078 nucleotides) under Vitis vinifera (wine grape). RNAcentral describes it as "long non-coding RNA (VVIN_LNC006037)". The record is from RNAcentral. Lineage: Eukaryota; Viridiplantae; Streptophyta; Magnoliopsida; Vitales; Vitaceae.